This 679-nucleotide ribosomal RNA is filed under the name Arthrobacter sp. Its description in RNAcentral is "bacterial SSU rRNA". It matches the Rfam family "Bacterial small subunit ribosomal RNA", at positions 331 to 1017 of the family's 1533-position model. Lineage: Bacteria; Bacillati; Actinomycetota; Actinomycetes; Micrococcales; Micrococcaceae. The record is from RNAcentral.
CCUUACUCCUACGGGAGGCAGCAGUGGGGAAUAUUGCACAAUGGGCGCAAGCCUGAUGCAGCGACGCCGCGUGAGGGAUGACGGCCUUCGGGUUGUAAACCUCUUUCAGUAGGGAAGAAGCCGCAAGGUGACGGUACCUGCAGAAGAAGCGCCGGCUAACUACGUGCCAGCAGCCGCGGUAAUACGUAGGGCGCAAGCGUUAUCCGGAAUUAUUGGGCGUAAAGAGCUCGUAGGCGGUUUGUCGCGUCUGCCGUGAAAGUCCGGGGCUCAACUCCGGAUCUGCGGUGGGUACGGGCAGACUAGAGUGAUGUAGGGGAGACUGGAAUUCCUGGUGUAGCGGUGAAAUGCGCAGAUAUCAGGAGGAACACCGAUGGCGAAGGCAGGUCUCUGGGCAUUAACUGACGCUGAGGAGCGAAAGCAUGGGGAGCGAACAGGAUUAGAUACCCUGGUAGUCCAUGCCGUAAACGUUGGGCACUAGGUGUGGGGGACAUUCCACGUUUUCCGCGCCGUAGCUAACGCAUUAAGUGCCCCGCCUGGGGAGUACGGCCGCAAGGCUAAAACUCAAAGGAAUUGACGGGGGCCCGCACAAGCGGCGGAGCAUGCGGAUUAAUUCGAUGCAACGCGAAGAACCUUACCAAGGCUUGACAUGAACCGGUAACGCCUGAAACCACGUGCCCCC